This is an unclassified non-coding RNA of Pteropus vampyrus (large flying fox), 337 nucleotides long. Its record names the gene 7SK. It matches the Rfam family "7SK RNA". Rfam says of the family: 7SK was discovered as an abundant small nuclear RNA in the mid-70s but a possible function has only recently been suggested. Two independent studies have found that 7SK RNA binds the CDK9/cyclin T complex (known as elongation factor P-TEFb). NCBI's taxonomy places the organism in Eukaryota, Metazoa, Chordata, Mammalia, Chiroptera, Pteropodidae. The record is from Ensembl.
AGAUGUGAGGGCAACCUGGCUAUGACAUCUGUCAUCUCAUUGGCUACAAGGGUUGAUUUGGCUGAUCUGACUGCCUAGGCUGGUGUGCCCUUCCUCUCACCACCCCAUGUGUGUCCCUUCAGAAUCUACAUGCUUGGAGGAAGAGGGUGACCUUCCCCGAUGGAGGACAGGACUGUUCUUUGGUCAAGGGUAUAUGAGUAGCUGGGCUUCCCUGCUAGAACCUUCAAACAAGCUCUCAAGAAUAACAGUGCCUUCAAAUAUUUCAUUUUCUUAAUUUGGAAAUUCAGACAAUCUUAAAUGGAUGGAUAAAGAAAUUAUUUUGUUCUUGAAGUUGUUU